GACGAACGCUGGCGGCGUGCCUAAUACAUGCAAGUAGAACGCUGAAGGAGGAGCUUGCUUCUCUGGAUGAGUUGCGAACGGGUGAGUAACGCGUAGGUAACCUGCCUGUUAGCGGGGGUUAACUAUUGGAAACGAUAGCUAAUACCGCAUAAGAGUAGAUGUUGCAUGACAUUUGCUUAAAAGGUGCAAUUGCAUCACUACCAGAUGGACCUGCGUUGUCUUAGCUAGUUGGUGGGGUAACGGCUUAACAACGCGACGAUACAUAGCCGGCCUGAGAGGGUGGUCGGCCACACUGGGAAUGAGACAAGGGCCAGACUCCUACGGGAGGCAGCAGUAGGGAAUCUUCGGCAAUGGACGGAAGUCUGACCGAGCAAAGCCGCGGGAGUGAAGAAGGUUUUCGGAUCGGAAAGCUCUGUUGUAAGAGAAGAACGAGUGUGAGAGUGGAAAGUUCACACUGUGACGGUAUCUUACCAGAAAGGGACGGCUAACUACGUG
RNAcentral lists this ribosomal RNA (495 nucleotides) under uncultured bacterium. Its description in RNAcentral is "partial 16S ribosomal RNA". It matches the Rfam family "Bacterial small subunit ribosomal RNA", at positions 28 to 507 of the family's 1533-position model. The record is from RNAcentral.